This 89-nucleotide microRNA precursor is filed under the name Panthera pardus (leopard). RNAcentral's name for it is "microRNA 212 (ENSPPRG00000013505.1)". The stretch from base 23 to 89 matches the Rfam family "mir-132 microRNA precursor family", at positions 1 to 69 of the family's 84-position model. The record is from RNAcentral. Lineage: Eukaryota; Metazoa; Chordata; Mammalia; Carnivora; Felidae.
CGGAGGCACCCCCGCCCGGGCAGCGCGCCGGCACCUUGGCUCUAGACUGCUUACUGCCCGGGCCGCCCUCAGUAACAGUCUCCAGUCAC